UCCACUACAAAGUUGUGUCUUUGGUUCUCUGUCUUUGGACAUAUAAGAAUUAGCGGUAAAGAAAUAUAGAUUUGGAAAAGUCUGAGGGCAGCUCAUUCCCCAUGGGCUUAUGAUCAGUCACCUCACAUAG
Ictidomys tridecemlineatus (thirteen-lined ground squirrel) is the source of this 130-nucleotide small nucleolar RNA. NCBI's taxonomy places the organism in Eukaryota, Metazoa, Chordata, Mammalia, Rodentia, Sciuridae. The record is from Ensembl.